This 537-nucleotide long non-coding RNA is filed under the name Papio anubis (olive baboon). RNAcentral's name for it is "lncRNA (ENSPANG00000046270.1)". Lineage: Eukaryota; Metazoa; Chordata; Mammalia; Primates; Cercopithecidae. The record is from RNAcentral.
GAUGAGCUUAAAAGUUUUAUUAAUUUUUUUUGUUACACAUUUUCAGUUUAGAAACGAACAAACAAAUGAGAGACAAUAUAGAAAGCAAAGAUCAACAACCUGGCAACAGUCUCUAUCAACGUGUUGACUAACAAAUAUAGAAUUAAAUGAUAAGACAGAAAACAGUUUGAUGACUGGAACACUUAGUGACAUCAUUUAAUAGCCUGUGGCAUCGAAGCUAUUACAGUAAUAAUUUCUCUCCAGUGAGGAAGACUACAUAAUGGCACUUGCCUGGAAGUCUUAAUUUUCCAACCCAAAACUUCAGGAUAUUUUUCAAGCCCCCUACCAUGACUCCGUAUGCCACAGCAGACAAGAUUUUGCAAUCAUUCCUGAAGAAAAUAGAUAAUAAGUACAAAUACAUUUUCCAGUACUAAACUGAAGAGCAUGCUGUCUUAAAAUUUUAUAUUGUCUGUAUGUGUACAGUGGAAAGUUAACAUUGAUGGCAGCCAGGUUAUAAAAAGUUAGUUCAUAAAAACCCUCUGCUUAAAAUAUAAACUG